Molecule: long non-coding RNA, 528 nt
Filed under: Gossypium barbadense (sea-island cotton)
Lineage: Eukaryota; Viridiplantae; Streptophyta; Magnoliopsida; Malvales; Malvaceae
Description: long non-coding RNA (GBAR_LNC020147)
Source: RNAcentral
UUGUUCUUCAGAACAGCUUCUGCAGUAGCUAAUAAUAUCGUUAUAUAUUAUAUAAAUUUUAUACAUCCUUUUUACCCUACAACUCCAUAUAUAAGCAAGUAAAAAUAAAUAUGGCUCGCUCUGUUUCUUCCUUUAAGCUCCUUGGUGCUUCUGUUUUUGAUGGUCUUUAUGUCUCCAUAUCAAGGUAACCGUGUGUGUGUUUUUUUCAAAAUCCUUUGUAUAUGGUUUUUGGCUUAAUUUUUUUUUUGGUUAUUGAUAAUGAUUUGGGGUUGUCUUUAAAGGAGAGGUUACUCGGGUGCACCGCCGGCGGCAGUGACGGCUAGCUUUGGUAGGCCUGGGGCGAUGGGGAAAGUGGAACGAAGAGAUGCGAUGAAAGAGUCGUCGUCGUCGGAGACAAGGGCUUAUUCUUCAGCUUGGGCGCCUGACCCUGUUACGGGGUAUUACCGGCCGGAGAAUUGUGGGGCUGAGAUCGAUGCGGCGGAGCUCCGGGAGAUGUUGUUGAAUCACAGGGUUAGAUCACAGUAGAAA